UGUAGCAUAAGCGUCAUAGAAAGAAAGCAGUCAAAAUGGCGUCGGUUAUAGGAUCAGAAGUGGAGAUCCAAGAGGUUGAGGUGGAGUCCAUCCCCGUUGAAAUGCCCAUCGAGACGGUGGAAACCACAGACGAUACAGUCGAAGUGCAACCCAUGAUUGCUCUCCAGCCAUUACCCGAAGCGGCCCAAGAAGAGAUUGUUCUGCAGACUCGUGAGGAGGUGGUUGGUGAUCCGAACCUCGUGUAUGCUGACAGCAUCCCCGUACCAGCUCCAGAGAUUGAAAUAUCCACAGAAGAAGCAACCAUCACCCGGAAAGGCAAAGGUGGCAAGAGACGAGCCAAUAAAUCACGAAAUAUGAUAUCGACAUCAGCUGUAAAUUGUGGAGAACUGACGCUAGACACUAACUCUGCUACAAAGAAAUGGGAACAAAAGCAAGUACAGAUUAAAACUUUAGAAGGCGAAUUCUCAGUAACAAUGUGGGCUACAGGAUCUGAAGAUAAAUCCAAGCUGGAAGAUGAAAGUGUGUCGAGUGUCUCUGAAACGGAUGCAGAUUUUACUGAAUAUAUGACAGGGAAAAAGCUUCCACCAGGUGGCAUACCUGGGCUUGAUUUAAGUGAUCCGAAACAGUUGGCAGAAUUUGCACGUAACACCUCUACAGUACGUGCGAGGAAAGAAAAACGUGACCUGACCGUUGACCUGGAUGGGCUUUACCAUUCGCGCCUUUCUGGAAUAAAACCAAGAAAGCCUACUGAUGAUGUUCCCCGUACAGUGCCCUGCCCUCAUAAGGGUUGUAAUAAAAUGUUCAGAGAUAAUUCUGCUAUGAGAAAACACCUUCACACCCACGGGCCUCGGGUGCAUGUGUGUGCUGAGUGUGGUAAAGCCUUUGUGGAAAGUUCCAAACUGAAAAGGCAUCAGUUAGUUCACACUGGUGAAAAACCAUUCCAGUGUACAUUUGAAGGGUGUGGCAAGCGGUUUUCUCUUGACUUUAAUUUAAGGACACAUGUACGAAUACACACUGGUGAUAGACCUUAUGUCUGUCCAUUUGAUGGCUGCAACAAAAAAUUUGCUCAGUCUACAAAUUUGAAAUCUCAUAUCCUCACACAUGCUAAAGCAAAAACGAGAUGUGCAGAUGAACUGAAUUUAAUGCAGGGAAUUGGCAUAUGUAGUUAUGAUGAUGGGAGUGAAUUGCUUAUGCUCUAGUCCACGGUGCUCACGUCGGCGAGCCUGAGACACCACAAGCCCCCUGAAUUUAAUGGUCUCUAAACUCAAGAAGCUUCCUGCUGGAAAAUACUGUAUAUAACCCCCCAAAAUUUGAGAUGAGAAUGAUGGCUAGUUGAAAAUGUUGGUGCAGAAUUCUUCCAGAGCAAUCUCAACAAAACUACAGAGGAAACAGUGAUAGAAUUAAUUUGGUAGAUACAAGUCAAGUAAGAAAGUGGGUUGGGUAGGGACAAAAUAUAAAAAUUGGCAUUGGGGUGGGGUAUAUAUAUAUAUAGUUAUUUUAUUGUGGCUCUUCAUUAUUGCUGAAGACAUUUUGACCAGGUUUUUUUUAUUCAGAAUUAUAUUAUUUUGAAUAUUUUAACCCUCCACAUAUUCAUCAUGCCUGUAGUUAUUUGAGUCUUCAGUACCAUUUUGGUGCAAAUACUAUAUUGAAAAUAUUUAUAAUUCCAUUCAACAGUAAAUGGUUGUAUUGUCUUCAUGUUUUCUACACUGAACAUGCUCCUGCCACUGUUGCUUCUUCAGGCACCGUAACCUGUUGUAAUAAUAAUAAUAAUAAUGCUGCUAGAUGAUACUUUAAUUCCUACAUUUAGCAGAAGGUUUUUGGCAUUAAUGUCUUGGACUCCAUUCUGAGCAGAUUUUUUUCAGUUUUCUCCGUUAAAGAACUUUUUUGGUUUUUGCCACUGAUUUAGUGCAAAAGCUACUUAAUUAAUUGGCCUACAAUUAAUGACUGGAAAGAUAGAAUUUAUCAUUUGUUUCCUCUAAUGAAAUACAAUGUACAGACUGAGCUAUUCCAGGGCAGGAUCUGGCUACAAAUUAAACAUAAAAAUAAAAAAAACAAAAAAAAAUAAACAAGAAAAAGAAGGGAAAAAAUGUGUAAAUGGAAAAAAAAAAAAUAAUAAAACCUAAUUUAUGUCCUAUCUCUUAUUAUCUUUACCAUCUUUUUCAUUCCUGCUCUGAAAACUAUCUUCAAUAUUCAACAGUUGUUGAACUACAAGCAAAAAAAAAAUUUUUUAUCUUGCAUAGUGUAUCUUGUGAAAUGCCCAUUACAAACACACAUACAGACAUACAAAAAAAAAUGGAAAUAAACGUUUAACAAAUAA
Molecule: RNA transcript, 2317 nt
Organism: Octopus sinensis (East Asian common octopus)
Lineage: Eukaryota; Metazoa; Mollusca; Cephalopoda; Octopoda; Octopodidae
Gene name: transcriptional repressor protein YY1
Exons: 10
Source: RefSeq, a predicted model, not a curated record